This 410-nucleotide ribosomal RNA is filed under the name uncultured microorganism. Its description in RNAcentral is "bacterial SSU rRNA". It matches the Rfam family "Bacterial small subunit ribosomal RNA", at positions 509 to 917 of the family's 1533-position model. The record is from RNAcentral.
CAGCAGCCGCGGUAAUACGUAGGGGGCGAGCGUUGUCCGGAAUUAUUGGGCGUAAAGCGCGCGCAGGCGGUCCUUUAAGUCUGAUGUGAAAGCCCACGGCUCAACCGUGGAGGGUCAUUGGAAACUGGGGGACUUGAGUGCAGGAGAGGAGAGCGGAAUUCCACGUGUAGCGGUGAAAUGCGUAGAGAUGUGGAGGAACACCAGUGGCGAAGGCGGCUCUCUGGCCUGUAACUGACGCUGAGGCGCGAAAGCGUGGGGAGCAAACAGGAUUAGAUACCCUGGUAGUCAACGCCGUAAACGAUGAGUGCUAAGUGUUAGAGGGGUCACACCCUUUAGUGCUGCAGCUAACGCGAUAAGCACUCCGCCUGGGGAGUACGGCCGCAAGGCUGAAACUUAAAGGAAUUGGCGGG